AGAGUUUGAUCCUGGCUCAGGACGAACGCUGGCGGCGUGCUUAACACAUGCAAGUCGAACGGAACUAUUAUGGAAUGUCUUCGGACAGGAAGUUUUAGUUUAGUGGCGAACGGGUGAGUAACGCGUGAGGAACCUGCCUUUCAGAGGGGGACAACAGUUGGAAACGACUGCUAAUACCGCAUAAUACAGCAACUUCGCAUGAAGAUACUGUCAAAGAUUUUAUCGCUGAAAGAUGGCCUCGCGUCUGAUUAGAUAGUUGGUGGGGUAACGGCCCACCAAGUCGACGAUCAGUAGCCGGACUGAGAGGUUGAACGGCCACAUUGGGACUGAGAUACGGCCCAGACUCCUACGGGAGGCAGCAGUGGGGAAUAUUGGGCAAUGGGCGCAAGCCUGACCCAGCAACGCCGCGUGAAGGAAGAAGGCUUUCGGGUUGUAAACUUCUUUUACCAGGGACGAAGGAUGUGACGGUACCUGGAGAAAAAGCCACGGCUAACUACGUGCCAGCAGCCGCGGUAAUACGUAGGUGGCAAGCGUUGUCCGGAUUUACUGGGUGUAAAGGGCGUGUAGGCGGAGAUGCAAGUCAGGAGUGAAAUCUAGGGGCUCAACCCCUAAACUGCUUUUGAAACUGUAUCCCUUGAGUAUCGGAGAGGCAGGCGGAAUUCCUAGUGUAGCGGUGAAAUGCGUAGGUAUUAGGAGGAACACCAGUGGCGAAGGCGGCCUGCUGGACGACAACUGACGCUGAGGCGCGAAAGCGUGGGGAGCAAACAGGAUUAGAUACCCUGGUAGUCCACGCUGUAAACGAUGAAUACUAGGUGUGGGGGGACUGACCCCUUCCGUGCCGCAGUUAACACAAUAAGUAUUCCACCUGGGGAGUACGAUCGCAAGAUUGAAACUCAAAGGAAUUGACGGGGGCCCGCACAAGCAGUGGAUUAUGUGGUUUAAUUCGACGCAACGCGAAGAACCUUACCGAGGUUUGACAUCCCACUAACGAAGUAGAGAUACAUCAGGUGCCCUUCGGGGAAAGUGGAGACAGGUGGUGCAUGGUUGUCGUCAGCUCGUGUCGUGAGAUGUUGGGUUAAGUCCCGCAACGAGCGCAACCCCUAUUGUUAGUUGCUACGCAAGAGCACUCUAGCGAGACUGCCGUUGACAAAACGGAGGAAGGUGGGGACGACGUCAAAUCAUCAUGCCCUUUAUGUCCUGGGCUACACACGUAAUACAAUGGCGUAAACAAAGGGAAGCGACCCUGUGAAGGUGAGCAAAUCCCAAAAAUAACGUCUCAGUUCGGAUUGUAGUCUGCAACUCGACUACAUGAAGCUGGAAUCGCUAGUAAUCGCGAAUCAGAAUGUCGCGGUGAAUACGUUCCCGGGUCUUGUACACACCGCCCGUCACACCAUGGGAGUCGGUAAUGCCCGAAGUCAGUGACCUAACCGCAAGGAAGGAGCUGCCGAAGGCAGGAUCGAUAACUGGGGUGAAGUCGUAACAAGGUAACC
This 1490-nucleotide ribosomal RNA is filed under the name uncultured rumen bacterium. Its description in RNAcentral is "bacterial SSU rRNA". It matches the Rfam family "Bacterial small subunit ribosomal RNA". The record is from RNAcentral.